Molecule: ribosomal RNA, 467 nt
Filed under: uncultured bacterium
Lineage: Bacteria
Description: partial 16S ribosomal RNA
Rfam family: Bacterial small subunit ribosomal RNA
Source: RNAcentral
GACGAACGCUGGCGGCGUGCUUAACACAUGCAAGUCGAACGGAAAGGCCCUGCUUUUGUGGGGUGCUCGAGUGGCGAACGGGUGAGUAACACGUGAGUAACCUGCCCUUGACUUUGGGAUAACUUCAGGAAACUGGGGCUAAUACCGGAUAGGAGCUCCUGCUGCAUGGUGGGGGUUGGAAAGUUUCGGCGGUUGGGGAUGGACUCGCGGCUCAUCAGCUUGUUGGUGGGGUAGUGGCUUACCAAGGCUUUGACGGGUAGCCGGCCUGAGAGGGUGACCGGCCACAUGGGGACUGAGAGACGGCCCAGACUCCUACGGGAGGCAGCAGGGGGGAAUAUGGCACAAUGGGCGGAAGCCUGAUGCAGCAACGCCGCGUGCGGGAGGACGGCCUUCGGGUGGUAAACCGCUUUCGCAUGUGACGAAGCGUGAGUGACGGUAAUGGGUAAAGAAGCACAGGAGAACUACGU